RNAcentral lists this ribosomal RNA (503 nucleotides) under uncultured Parvimonas sp. RNAcentral's name for it is "bacterial SSU rRNA". It matches the Rfam family "Bacterial small subunit ribosomal RNA", at positions 1 to 507 of the family's 1533-position model. The record is from RNAcentral. Lineage: Bacteria; Bacillati; Bacillota; Tissierellia; Tissierellales; Peptoniphilaceae.
UAGUAGUUUGACUCCGUGGCUACGAGGACGACGCUGGCGGCGUGCUUAACACAUGCAAGUCGAACGUGAUUUUUGUGGAAAUUCUUUCGGGAAUGGAAAUGAAAUGAAAGUGGCGAACGGGUGAGUAACACGUGAGCAACCUACCUUACACAGGGGGAUAGCCGUUGGAAACGACGAUUAAUACCGCAUGAGACCACAGAAUCGCAUGAUAUAGGGGUCAAAGAUUUAUCGGUGUAAGAAGGGCUCGCGUCUGAUUAGCUAGUUGGAAGGGUAAAGGCCUACCAAGGCGACGAUCAGUAGCCGGUCUGAGAGGAUGAACGGCCACAUUGGAACUGAGACACGGUCCAAACUCCUACGGGAGGCAGCAGUGGGGAAUAUUGCACAAUGGGGGGAACCCUGAUGCAGCGACGCCGCGUGAGCGAAGAAGGUUUUCGAAUCGUAAAGCUCUGUCCUAUGAGAAGAUAAUGACGGUAUCAUAGGAGGAAGCCCCGGCUAAAUACGUG